GGCGAAGGCGGGAAAUGAAAACGUUUUGUUGAAGAUGUGUGAAUUACUUACUUGAAAAGACAAAACAGUUAAAAUGAGUACUUUAGAGCAAGCUUCAAGAAAACUAUUUAUAGGGGAAAUCCAAGAGAUAUUUCGAUCUAAACCAGCUUCGGCCAUUGAACCUUUGUGUGUUUGGUUACAAGGAACAGUAAUAAAGAAUAACGAUAACAGUAGUGAAAUCUAUAUAGAUGAUGGAACUGGUAUUGUUCAAAUUUUUGGAAAUGAUAAAAUACCAAACUGUCCUAGAGUACGUAAGGGUCAGUACGUGAUGGUUAUUGGUAUCGUAAUAUCAGGCAGUUUGACUCCUGUUGUUCGUACUUUCAAAGUUCAAGAUUUAACCUCCUGUGUUGCCAUGGAAACAAUGUGGAUACUAGAAGUGAUAGAUCAAUCAGUGACAUGUUAUCGGUGAAUAUAGCCAUGCUAUAGGACAUGGAUUCUGUGAUGAUCGCUGGAUUGAUAUAUUGACGCUAAAUCAUGAAAUGAUAAAAUAAAAAUCCACUGACAAAUUGUGAAUUUGAAAAAUGAUACAGAGGUGGAGGAGUUGUAUAAAAAUUGUAUUCUACAAGAGAGGAUCUUGAAAAAUAUUUGAUUUGUAGAGGAGUUAACAAAUAACCAACCAACCAUAUUUGGAUAGUAUGGGGAUCAAAAAAUGUGUUCCUAUCCUCUCUGGUAAUAUUAAGCACAAUAGCCCUUAUUAACGAAAAGAACAAAGGAAAAUGGUCCUUAAUUAUGAUGUGUACAUACUUUGUUGGGGGAGGGGUGUGUGCUAUAAAAAGUGUUGUUUCCUGUUGAACUUCCCACUCACCCAGGUAUUAUUAAAUAGAGAGAGAGAGAGAAAUUGGGUUUAACGUCCACUCGACACAAACUAGGUCAUUUCGGGACUAACACAUGGUUCAAUUUUAUUUCAAUAAUUCGCAUGCGCGUAGGGGUCAUUAGCAGUGGGAGGAAACCGGAGGACCCGGAGAAAACCCAUGAGGUUGGACAGGCGACCCUACUCCUUGUCACGUACAACCGGGGAAUCGAAACCCUGCCAGUUGACUCAAUGACAGACCGUAUGAUACAGUGCACGCAUGCUAACCAUUAACCAUUCGGCCAUCCAACUCCCCUAUUAUUAAAUAACCUGUAAUUGAGAUGACUUAUGAUGUUAUUAGAUAUACAGCUAUUAUUAUUAUUAUGAUAAAUAAAGAAGUCUUGUUUCUUAUAAUUUUAUUAUCAUAUUAUACAUGUAUACAAAGUAAUUGAUGCAUAUUUUGAUGAGCGCAUGAUUAUUAUACAUGAAAAAAUAUGAAAGUCUUAAAAAAUAAAAAAGAUCAACAAUAAA
Long non-coding RNA from Patella vulgata (common limpet), 1360 nucleotides. RefSeq lists it as uncharacterized. Lineage: Eukaryota; Metazoa; Mollusca; Gastropoda; Patellidae. The transcript has 4 exons. The record is from RefSeq and is a predicted model, not a curated record.